AACGAACGCUGGCGGCAUGCCUAACACAUGCAAGUCGAACGAGAUCUUCGGGUCUAGUGGCGCACGGGUGCGUAACGCGUGGGAAUCUGCCCUUGGGUUCGGAAUAACAGUUCGAAACGACUGCUAAUACCGGAUGAUGACGAAGGUCCAAAGAUUUAUCGCCAGAGGAUGAGCCCGCGUAGGAUUAGCUAGUUGGUGUGGUAAAGGCGCACCAAGGCGACGAUCCUUAGCUGGUCUGAGAGGAUGAUCAGCCACACUGGGACUGAGACACGGCCCAGACUCCUACGGGAGGCAGCAGUGGGGAAUAUUGGACAAUGGGCGAAAGCCUGAUCCAGCAAUGCCGCGUGAGUGAUGAAGGCCUUAGGGUUGUAAAGCUCUUUUACCCGGGAUGAUAAUGACAGUACCGGGAGAAUAAGCUCCGGCUAACUCCGUGCCAGCCGCCGCGUAA
This 448-nucleotide ribosomal RNA is filed under the name uncultured bacterium. RNAcentral's name for it is "partial 16S ribosomal RNA". It matches the Rfam family "Bacterial small subunit ribosomal RNA", at positions 29 to 522 of the family's 1533-position model. The record is from RNAcentral.